GAUGAACGCUGGCGGCGUGCCUAAUACAUGCAAGUCGAACGCUUCACUUCGGUGAAGAGUGGCGAACGGGUGAGUAAUACCUAAGUAACCUGGCAUCUACAGGGGGAUAACUGAUGGAAACGUCAGCUAAGACCGCAUAGGUGUAGAGAUCGCAUGAACUCUAUAUGAAAAGUGCUACGGGACUGGUAGAUGAUGGACUUAUGGCGCAUUAGCUUGUUGGUAGGGUAACGGCCUACCAAGGCGACGAUGCGUAGCCGACCUGAGAGGGUGACCGGCCACACUGGGACUGAGACACGGCCCAGACUCCUACGGGAAGCAGCAGUAGGGAAUUUUCGGCAAUGGGGGAAACCCUGACCGAGCAACGCCGCGUGAAGGAAGAAGUAAUUCGUUAUGUAAACUUCUGUCAUAGAGGAAGAACGGUGGAUAUAGGGAAUGAUAUCCAAGUGACGGUACUCUAUAAGAAAGCCACGGCUAACUACGUG
RNAcentral lists this ribosomal RNA (482 nucleotides) under uncultured bacterium. RNAcentral's name for it is "partial 16S ribosomal RNA". It matches the Rfam family "Bacterial small subunit ribosomal RNA", at positions 28 to 507 of the family's 1533-position model. The record is from RNAcentral.